Molecule: transfer RNA, 69 nt
Filed under: Marmota monax (woodchuck)
Lineage: Eukaryota; Metazoa; Chordata; Mammalia; Rodentia; Sciuridae
Description: tRNA.Ala
Source: RNAcentral
GGGCUGGGGCUCAGUGGCAGAGCACUCCCUCGCAUGUGUGAGGCCUUGGGUUCGAUCCUCAGCACCACA